Molecule: non-coding RNA, 655 nt
Organism: Meleagris gallopavo (turkey)
Lineage: Eukaryota; Metazoa; Chordata; Aves; Galliformes; Phasianidae
Source: RefSeq, a predicted model, not a curated record
GGCAGAGAAAGUGAUUGCUGUCUUUAUGUCUUACGGAGCUUUGAGAUAGCCACUCUGUAAUGCUGACUGUGGGCCACUUUGGAUACUAAGGUUCCUGGAGUCCCUAAUGCUUGAACCUAUAUUCAUUCCAGUUACAACUGCUGGAGCAUUCAGUGGGACUGUGCUGAGGGGUAACUAUAAGGAAAAUGCAUAUCCUGCCUUAUCCCAAUUCUUCAUUCAUCGCUAUGGAAUUGAUGAUGAAAUAUUAUUUUAAAAGGAAGAAGAAGGUCUUGUGCAUUGCUACUCUCUUGGCUGGAUUUCAAAGCAACUAAUUAAAUUCUGUCUGCCUUAGCUCUUCCUAUGGUUUUCCAUUAAGUGAGUUGGGCAUUGUCCUAUUUUAUCUGCAUCAACGUGGCAAAAUGCUGCAGGGCAGCAACUCCAAGGGGAGACUGUUUUCUGUUGUGGGAAGAGUGGUCCACAGACAGCCCUGCUAACACAAGUGGGUGGGCAUGAGCUCUUCCAGGUUCUCAAUUCCAGACACAGCUACUAGUCUUCUUACACAGGCAGAUAGUGAUAGCACAAAGGGGAAUGGCUUUAAACUAAAAGAGGGUAGCUUUAGGUUAGAUGUUAGGAGUAAAUUCUUUACUUGGAGAGUGGCGAGGUGCUGGCACAGCUG